CGGGGCGUGGCGAAGCCUGGUAUCGCGUACGGUUUGGGGCCGUAAGGUCGCCGGUUCGAAUCCGGCCGCCCCGA
This 74-nucleotide transfer RNA is filed under the name Actinomycetes bacterium. RNAcentral describes it as "Actinobacteria bacterium tRNA-Pro". It matches the Rfam family "tRNA". From Rfam's summary of the family: Transfer RNA (tRNA) molecules are approximately 80 nucleotides in length. Their secondary structure includes four short double-helical elements and three loops (D, anti-codon, and T loops). The record is from RNAcentral. Lineage: Bacteria; Bacillati; Actinomycetota; Actinomycetes. RNAcentral also lists the same sequence under 1 other name.